AUGCCUUUUAACUUUAAGAGGCUAACCACACAGAAAGGUAAAGGAACUCUCCAUAAAACCCAUGGGAAAGACUGUACACCUCUUCCUUGGAUCCUUUCUAGAGUCACGGAU
This is a small nucleolar RNA of Mesocricetus auratus (golden hamster), 111 nucleotides long. RefSeq annotates it as small nucleolar RNA SNORA26. The transcript has a single exon. The record is from RefSeq and is a predicted model, not a curated record. NCBI's taxonomy places the organism in Eukaryota, Metazoa, Chordata, Mammalia, Rodentia, Cricetidae.